RNAcentral lists this ribosomal RNA (2923 nucleotides) under Bacillus paranthracis. RNAcentral's name for it is "23S ribosomal RNA". It matches the Rfam family "Bacterial large subunit ribosomal RNA". The record is from RNAcentral. Lineage: Bacteria; Bacillati; Bacillota; Bacilli; Caryophanales; Bacillaceae.
GGUUAAGUUAGAAAGGGCGCACGGUGGAUGCCUUGACACUAGGAGUCGAUGAAGGACGGGACUAACGCCGAUAUGCUUCGGGGAGCUGUAAGUAAGCUUUGAUCCGAAGAUUUCCGAAUGGGGAAACCCACUAUACGUAAUGGUAUGGUAUCCUUAUCUGAAUACAUAGGGUAAGGAAGACAGACCCAGGGAACUGAAACAUCUAAGUACCUGGAGGAAGAGAAAGCAAAUGCGAUUUCCUGAGUAGCGGCGAGCGAAACGGAACAUAGCCCAAACCAAGAGGCUUGCCUCUUGGGGUUGUAGGACAUUCUAUACGGAGUUACAAAGGAACGAGGUAGACGAAGCGACCUGGAAAGGUCCGUCGUAGAGGGUAACAACCCCGUAGUCGAAACUUCGUUCUCUCUUGAAUGUAUCCUGAGUACGGCGGAACACGUGAAAUUCCGUCGGAAUCUGGGAGGACCAUCUCCCAAGGCUAAAUACUCCCUAGUGAUCGAUAGUGAACCAGUACCGUGAGGGAAAGGUGAAAAGCACCCCGGAAGGGGAGUGAAAGAGAUCCUGAAACCGUGUGCCUACAAAUAGUCAGAGCCCGUUAACGGGUGAUGGCGUGCCUUUUGUAGAAUGAACCGGCGAGUUACGAUCCCGUGCGAGGUUAAGCUGAAGAGGCGGAGCCGCAGCGAAAGCGAGUCUGAAUAGGGCGUUUAGUACGUGGUCGUAGACCCGAAACCAGGUGAUCUACCCAUGUCCAGGGUGAAGUUCAGGUAACACUGAAUGGAGGCCCGAACCCACGCACGUUGAAAAGUGCGGGGAUGAGGUGUGGGUAGCGGAGAAAUUCCAAUCGAACCUGGAGAUAGCUGGUUCUCCCCGAAAUAGCUUUAGGGCUAGCCUUAAGUGUAAGAGUCUUGGAGGUAGAGCACUGAUUGGACUAGGGGUCCUCAUCGGAUUACCGAAUUCAGUCAAACUCCGAAUGCCAAUGACUUAUCCUUAGGAGUCAGACUGCGAGUGAUAAGAUCCGUAGUCAAAAGGGAAACAGCCCAGACCGCCAGCUAAGGUCCCAAAGUGUGUAUUAAGUGGAAAAGGAUGUGGAGUUGCUUAGACAACUAGGAUGUUGGCUUAGAAGCAGCCACCAUUUAAAGAGUGCGUAAUAGCUCACUAGUCGAGUGACUCUGCGCCGAAAAUGUACCGGGGCUAAAUACACCACCGAAGCUGCGGAUUGAUACCGAAUGGUAUCAGUGGUAGGGGAGCGUUCUAAGGACAGUGAAGUCAGACCGGAAGGACUGGUGGAGUGCUUAGAAGUGAGAAUGCCGGUAUGAGUAGCGAAAGACGGGUGAGAAUCCCGUCCACCGAAUGCCUAAGGUUUCCUGAGGAAGGCUCGUCCGUUCAGGGUUAGUCAGGACCUAAGCCGAGGCCGACAGGCGUAGGCGAUGGACAACAGGUUGAUAUUCCUGUACCACCUCUUUAUCGUUUGAGCAAUGGAGGGACGCAGAAGGAUAGAAGAAGCGUGCGAUUGGUUGUGCACGUCCAAGCAGUUAGGCUGAUAAGUAGGCAAAUCCGCUUAUCGUAAAGGCUGAGCUGUGAUGGGGAAGCUCCUUAUGGAGCGAAGUCUUUGAUUCCCCGCUGCCAAGAAAAGCUUCUAGCGAGAUAAAAGGUGCCUGUACCGCAAACCGACACAGGUAGGCGAGGAGAGAAUCCUAAGGUGUGCGAGAGAACUCUGGUUAAGGAACUCGGCAAAAUGACCCCGUAACUUCGGGAGAAGGGGUGCUUUCUUAACGGAAAGCCGCAGUGAAUAGGCCCAAGCGACUGUUUAGCAAAAACACAGCUCUCUGCGAAGCCGUAAGGCGAAGUAUAGGGGGUGACACCUGCCCGGUGCUGGAAGGUUAAGGAGAGGGGUUAGCGUAAGCGAAGCUCUGAACUGAAGCCCCAGUAAACGGCGGCCGUAACUAUAACGGUCCUAAGGUAGCGAAAUUCCUUGUCGGGUAAGUUCCGACCCGCACGAAAGGUGUAACGAUUUGGGCACUGUCUCAACCAGAGACUCGGUGAAAUUAUAGUACCUGUGAAGAUGCAGGUUACCCGCGACAGGACGGAAAGACCCCGUGGAGCUUUACUGUAGCCUGAUAUUGAAUUUUGGUACAGUUUGUACAGGAUAGGCGGGAGCCUUUGAAACCGGAGCGCUAGCUUCGGUGGAGGCGCUGGUGGGAUACCGCCCUGACUGUAUUGAAAUUCUAACCUACGGGUCUUAUCGACCCGGGAGACAGUGUCAGGUGGGCAGUUUGACUGGGGCGGUCGCCUCCUAAAGUGUAACGGAGGCGCCCAAAGGUUCCCUCAGAAUGGUUGGAAAUCAUUCGUAGAGUGCAAAGGCAUAAGGGAGCUUGACUGCGAGACCUACAAGUCGAGCAGGGACGAAAGUCGGGCUUAGUGAUCCGGUGGUUCCGCAUGGAAGGGCCAUCGCUCAACGGAUAAAAGCUACCCCGGGGAUAACAGGCUUAUCUCCCCCAAGAGUCCACAUCGACGGGGAGGUUUGGCACCUCGAUGUCGGCUCAUCGCAUCCUGGGGCUGUAGUCGGUCCCAAGGGUUGGGCUGUUCGCCCAUUAAAGCGGUACGCGAGCUGGGUUCAGAACGUCGUGAGACAGUUCGGUCCCUAUCCGUCGUGGGCGUAGGAAAUUUGAGAGGAGCUGUCCUUAGUACGAGAGGACCGGGAUGGACGCACCGCUGGUGUACCAGUUGUUCUGCCAAGGGCAUAGCUGGGUAGCUAUGUGCGGAAGGGAUAAGUGCUGAAAGCAUCUAAGCAUGAAGCCCCCCUCAAGAUGAGAUUUCCCAUAGCGUAAGCUAGUAAGAUCCCUGAAAGAUGAUCAGGUUGAUAGGUUCGAGGUGGAAGCAUGGUGACAUGUGGAGCUGACGAAUACUAAUAGAUCGAGGACUUAACCAU